Molecule: small RNA, 199 nt
Filed under: Citrobacter koseri
Lineage: Bacteria; Pseudomonadati; Pseudomonadota; Gammaproteobacteria; Enterobacterales; Enterobacteriaceae
Description: IS009
Source: RNAcentral
UGAAAGAUGAGGAGGCGGAAAACGCUGCUAAAAUCCGUGAAGCUGAAGUUACAAAAAAUAGCCUGAUGCAGGUUGCAAAUGAAAAGAUUCUGCCACUUCAGGAUGCUGUUGAACUGGGUAUUGCAAUAGAAGAAGAAACGGCGCUUUUGCUGGAGUGGAAAAAGUACCGGGUAAAACUAAACCGUAUCGAACCUGACGA